AUCGAUGAUAGAAUUCAAAAGGGCGUAUUGCAAAUUGACGUUUUCCGACAUGAAAGCCAUGGGUUCACUUCCUGGUUUUUGAUCAAGAUGUAUGGAGGAAUUAGUUAGACCAUCAGAGGCAAGAAUGUGUUGGAAAGGUUGGAUGCGAUCCUUGCGAGCAAAAUCCCAAGCACCAAUUUUGUCAAAAAACAUGCGGGUAUGAUUCGUUAAAGAGCUACAACGAUUAGAGUACGUUUCAAACUUCCAAUCCUUUAAUUUCAUCGUAUCCUGAAUGUCCAAAAGCCCAACUUUGAGUGAUUGAGUUACGGGAUUACUCUGUAGUCCAGCAGCUAAAGCCAGUCCGACAGGACCGGAUCCUACUAUAACAACAUCGAAUUGACGUUGAAGUAUUUUUUGGCUUGCAAACUUCCUCGUGUAUAUUCCUAAAGUUGGACUGAUAGUAGGCAUCUCGACACGAGAAACCCCUCUUAAAACCAAAGAACUCAUGAGCCGGCCUUUAAUGCAAAUAUAGUUCCAAAAGAUAGAAUAAAGAU
This is a non-coding RNA of Schizosaccharomyces pombe (fission yeast), 533 nucleotides long. Lineage: Eukaryota; Fungi; Ascomycota; Schizosaccharomycetes; Schizosaccharomycetales; Schizosaccharomycetaceae. The record is from the annotation of a GenBank genome assembly.